This 253-nucleotide ribosomal RNA is filed under the name uncultured bacterium. RNAcentral describes it as "partial 16S ribosomal RNA". It matches the Rfam family "Bacterial small subunit ribosomal RNA", at positions 524 to 776 of the family's 1533-position model. The record is from RNAcentral.
UACGGAGGAUUCGAGCGUUAUCCGGAUUUAUUGGGUUUAAAGGGAGCGUAGGCGGGUUGUUAAGUCAGUUGUGAAAGUUUGCGGCUCAACCGUAAAAUUGCAGUUGAUACUGGCAUCCUUGAGUACAGUAGAGGUAGGCGGAAUUCGCGGUGUAGCGGUGAAAUGCUUAGAUAUCACGAAGAACUCCGAUUGCGAAGGCAGCCUGCUGGACUGUAACUGACGCUGAUGCUCGAAAGUGUGGGUAUCAAACAGG